This 483-nucleotide ribosomal RNA is filed under the name Ophicrania palinurus. RNAcentral describes it as "partial 16S ribosomal RNA". It matches the Rfam family "Bacterial large subunit ribosomal RNA", at positions 1918 to 2612 of the family's 2925-position model. The record is from RNAcentral. Lineage: Eukaryota; Metazoa; Arthropoda; Insecta; Phasmatodea; Phasmatidae.
UUUUAUUUAAUGGCCGCGGUAUUUUGACCGUGCAAAGGUAGCAUAAUCAUUAGUCCAUUAAUUGUGGUCUUGUAUGAAUGGUUGGACGAGAUAUUAUCUGUCUCAGUAUUUAUUUUUAUAAAAUUUAAAUUUUAAGUCAAAAUGCUUAAAUUUUUUUAUAGGACGAGAAGACCCUUUAGAUCUUUAUUUAUUUUGUUAUUUGUUUUAUUUAGUUUUAUUUUUUUAGAUAAUUAUUUAUUUUUUGUUGGGGUGACAUGGUGAUAUUAUUAACUCAUUAUAUUUUUAUACAAUUAUUUUUGUUUAUUUGACCUUUUAUUAAUGUUAUAAGAUUUAGAUACCUAAGGGAUAACAGCGUAAUUCUUUUUGAGAGUUCAAAUCGACAAGGGAGAUUGCGACCUCGAUGUUGGAUUAAGAUUAUAAUUGGGUGUAGGUGCUUAAUUAUUAGGUCUGUUCGACCUUUAAAUUCUUACAUGAUCUGAGUUA